CUCUGGAUGGGACCCCAAGGACCUGUGCUUGUGUCUGGGUGGGAUCAGCCCUUCCCCUGCUCUGCAGCAGCACAGACACAUGAGCAGUGCUGAAAGAUGGCAUAAAAAUGCAAUGAAAAGGAGCUUUAGAAUGGUAAUGUCUUUUUUUUUUUUUUUUCUUUUUCUGGUGCCUAUAAAUCUGGGGGCUGAUAAAUAUUUGCAUUUUCCCCUGAUAAAAGCUAGUGCGUUACAACUGUAAUGGGAAGUGGGUCUGCUUUGUGGCGAAGUAUAGAUCUCGACAAAUUCUAAUCACCUGCUCAGGAAUAGACACGGGGGAGUGGGGAAUUGAUAGAUAAAGCAUCAGCUAUUAAAAGAAACACCGUGCAGCUCCUCCGGGCUGGAUAAAUCAAGGAGCCCUUUAUAUUCACGUUCACGUGCAGCUCAGGAAGGCAAAUUGACGAGGACUUGAGGUGUACUCUUGUGUCAGAUUAAACUGUGAUUCAUGGCCAGGAAGAUUACAUUUAAAUGUACCUGCUGUGGAAAGUUCUCGUCGCCGUUUCUGGACGUGCUUCUCCCCUAGCAGCCAGGUUUAUUUUGAGUCCUUCGGCCACAGCAAGCCCAGAGCAGGGCCUCUCCCUAGCUCUGCUGCAGACCAUCAACCUGGAUAAAAAAAAAUUUGCAAUUCCCAAACAGAAGGGAGCGGAGAAAAUGGCACAUCGCACAUCGUUGAUUGGGCUAGGGAAAGACAAAGAAAGAAGAGGUGGACUGGAUAUUGUGCGGAGCAGGGACUUUCUUUUUCCCCUUGUGAAAUGCUGGGGAAGAUCUUGUACAUCCAGAGGCACAGCGAUGUGCCACAGCUGUCCCAGGAGCUGAUAGCGGUGGUGGGACAAGGGGAGCGAGGAGAUGGGGGUCCCCAUCCUGCACCCUGUGUUUGCUUUGCACAUCCUGGUGGGCGCAGCAUCCUUUCUGGUGCUGGUCUCUGCAGGACACGGUGCCGGAUCCCGCUCUGCCUCCUCCAGGCUGAACACCCCUUGGUCCAGUCCCACCAGUUUGCUUUGCACUUCUGAGUGAGAGCAGCGUCUGGAUGAGGCCAACUUUCCUUCCUGGACCUCGUCCUGAGGCUCCCACCCUCUCCUGGACCUGGGCACACUGUUGACAAAGGAAGAGGUGGGCGAAGCAUCCAACCCACACUUGGUCCUCGGAAACAACCCUGCAUUGUUCCUGGUGCUGAGCAAGCC
RNAcentral lists this long non-coding RNA (1217 nucleotides) under Anser brachyrhynchus (Pink-footed goose). RNAcentral's name for it is "lncRNA (ENSABRG00000011860.1)". Lineage: Eukaryota; Metazoa; Chordata; Aves; Anseriformes; Anatidae. The record is from RNAcentral.